RNAcentral lists this ribosomal RNA (446 nucleotides) under uncultured bacterium. Its description in RNAcentral is "partial 16S ribosomal RNA". It matches the Rfam family "Bacterial small subunit ribosomal RNA", at positions 338 to 795 of the family's 1533-position model. The record is from RNAcentral.
CCUACGGGUGGCUGCAGUCGAGAAUCAUUCACAAUGGGGGAAACCCUGAUGGUGCGACGUCGCGUGGGGGAAUGAAGGUCUUCGGAUUGUAAACCUCUGUCAUGUGGGAGCAAAUCAAAAAGAUAGUACCACAAGAGGAAGAGACGGCUAACUCUGUGCCAGCAGCCGCGGUAAUACAGAGGUCUCAAGCGUUUGUCGGAAUCACUGGGCGUAAAGGGUGCGUAGGCUGUUUCGUAAGUCAUGUGUGAAAGGCGCCGGAUCAACCCGAGGACGGCACAUGAUACUGCGAGACUAGAGUAAUGGAGGGGGAACCGGAAUUCUCGGUGUAGCAGUGAAAUGCGUAGAUAUCGAGAGGAACCCUCGUGGCGAAGGCGGGUUCCUGGACAUUAACUGACGCUGAGGCACGAAGGCCAGGGGAGCGAAAGGGAUUAGAUACCCUUGUAGUC